This 84-nucleotide ribosomal RNA is filed under the name Vibrio parahaemolyticus. Its description in RNAcentral is "partial 16S ribosomal RNA". It matches the Rfam family "Bacterial small subunit ribosomal RNA", at positions 1 to 82 of the family's 1533-position model. Lineage: Bacteria; Pseudomonadati; Pseudomonadota; Gammaproteobacteria; Vibrionales; Vibrionaceae. The record is from RNAcentral.
UUAAAUUGAAGAGUUUGAUCAUGGCUCAGAUUGAACGCUGGCGGCAGGCCUAACACAUGCAAGUCGAGCGGAAACGAGUUAUCU